This 486-nucleotide ribosomal RNA is filed under the name Triticum aestivum (bread wheat). Its description in RNAcentral is "partial small subunit ribosomal RNA". The record is from RNAcentral. Lineage: Eukaryota; Viridiplantae; Streptophyta; Magnoliopsida; Poales; Poaceae.
AUGAUGGAUUUGGUGGAGGAGAAGAACUCCCUCAAGGACGAAAAGAGGAGCCCUGUGUACAGAAAACUUGUGAUGCUGCUUUGUCAAGUGCUUGUGUGGUUGUUUCGAUUUGACCUAGAAGACCGCUGCUUCGCUCCUCCGGGCCGUAUAGCACUAAUUGGACUGCGGUGGUCUGAUGACACCUUCCCUUGUCCAUGGAGGAUCCUCAAUAGGCAAGAUCAUAUGCCACCGCUGAUCCGAAGCUCAUGCCAGGGGAAGGGAUUCUGUUAUUGCCUUCUAUGUGGGUGGCGUAGACCACUGUGUGCCUCCUCUUCCAUGGACGCAGCAGCUGCUCCGACCCCGCUGCCGACACCAUGGAGAUCGUCAAGAUUGCAUUCCUCGGGAAGAUACUCCUUUCGUCCAUCAAACCUACCGGACAUGAUGGAAAAUCUCCAUCGCGCGCGACACCGGUCAUUUUCUCUUGCCAAGCGGUGCUGCAGAAGUUGA